GAUUGAGGUCUGAAAUUCGACCUCAUGAACGCGGAAUUGGUAGUAAUCGCAGGUCAGACAUACUGCGGUGAAUACGUUCUUGUCUCUUGCACACACUGCCCGUCAAGCCAACAAAGUCGGGAGUACCUGAAGGCUCUUCACGGGGACGAGGGUAAACUCGGCGAUGGGGGUUAAGUCGUAA
RNAcentral lists this ribosomal RNA (181 nucleotides) under Candidatus Woesebacteria bacterium RIFCSPLOWO2_02_FULL_42_10. RNAcentral's name for it is "partial 16S ribosomal RNA". It matches the Rfam family "Bacterial small subunit ribosomal RNA", at positions 1296 to 1491 of the family's 1533-position model. The record is from RNAcentral. Lineage: Bacteria; Candidatus Woeseibacteriota.